AAACGAGGCAAACCGGGGAAACUGAAACAUCUCAGUACCCCGAGGAAAAGAAAUCAACCGAGAUUCCCCCAGUAGCGGCGAGCGAACGGGGAGCAGCCCAGAGUCAACAUCAAUAUUUACCGCAGGAGAAGGGUCUGGAAAGGCCGGCAAUAAAGGGUGAUAGCCCCGUAUCUGAAGCGGUAAGUGUUGUGAACUCGAAGAGUAGGGCGGGACACGUGUUAUCCUGUCUGAAUAUGGGGGGACCCAUCCUCCAAGGCUAAAUACUCCUGACUGACCGAUAGUGAACCAGUACCGUGAGGGAAAGGCGAAAAGAACCCCGGCGAGGGGAGUGAAAUAGAACCUAAAACCGUGUACGUACAAGCAGUGGGAGCACCCGAAAGGGUGUGACUGCGUACCUUUUGUAUAAUGGGUCAGCGACUUAUAUUCUGUAGCAAGGUUAACCGCAUAGGGGAGCCGUAGGGAAACCGAGUCUUAACUGGGCGUUAAGUUGCAGGGUAUAGACCCGAAACCC
RNAcentral lists this ribosomal RNA (511 nucleotides) under Arsenophonus endosymbiont of Bemisia tabaci. RNAcentral's name for it is "bacterial LSU rRNA". It matches the Rfam family "Bacterial large subunit ribosomal RNA", at positions 172 to 723 of the family's 2925-position model. Lineage: Bacteria; Pseudomonadati; Pseudomonadota; Gammaproteobacteria; Enterobacterales; Morganellaceae. The record is from RNAcentral.